GCGAGCUGGACGGCCGCGCUUCUGGCGCAUAUGCGUCCAGAAGUGAGGAAAGUCCGGGCUUUGUAGGGCAGGAUGCCGGCUAACGGCCGGGCGGGGCGACCCGACGGAUCAGUGUCACAGAAAAGAAAACUCCCCACGCCACUUUGGCGCGGAGAAAAGCUGAAACGGUGUGGUAAGAGCGCACCAGCGUUGCGGCAACGCAGCGGCUUGACAAACCCCAUCCAAAGCAAGGGCAAAUAGGGGUGCCAUGGGUUGGCCCGACUCGCACCCGGGUUGCUCGCUUGAGGGUAUCGGCAACGAUACUCCUAGAUAAAUGGUCGUCUUAAAAGACAGAACCCGGCUUAUAGGCUCGCUC
This 355-nucleotide RNase P RNA is filed under the name bovine gut metagenome. RNAcentral describes it as "Bacterial RNase P class A". It matches the Rfam family "Bacterial RNase P class A". Rfam says of the family: Ribonuclease P (RNase P) is a ubiquitous endoribonuclease, found in archaea, bacteria and eukarya as well as chloroplasts and mitochondria. The record is from RNAcentral.